AAUGGGCGAAAGCCUGACGGAGCAACGCCGCGUGAGGGAGGAAGGUCUUUGGAUUGUAAACCUCUUUUCUCAAGGAAGAAGUUCUGACGGUACUUGAGGAAUCAGCCUCGGCUAACUCCGUGCCAGCAGCCGCGGUAAUACGGGGGAGGCAAGCGUUAUCCGGAAUUAUUGGGCGUAAAGCGUCCGCAGGUGGUCAGCCAAGUCUGCUGUCAAAUCAGGUUGCUUAACGACCUAAAGGCGGUGGAAACUGGCAGACUAGAGAGCAGUAGGGGUAGCAGGAAUUCCCAGUGUAGCGGUGAAAUGCGUAGAGAUUGGGAAGAACAUCGGUGGCGAAAGCGUGCUACUGGGCUGUAUCUGACACUCAGGGACGAAAGCUAGGGGAGCGAAAGGGAUUA
Molecule: ribosomal RNA, 395 nt
Filed under: Microcystis cf.aeruginosa M1
Lineage: Bacteria; Bacillati; Cyanobacteriota; Cyanophyceae; Chroococcales; Microcystaceae
Also listed under: 1 other name
Description: bacterial SSU rRNA
Rfam family: Bacterial small subunit ribosomal RNA
Source: RNAcentral